AUUGAACGCUAACGGCGCGCUUAACACAUGCAAGUCGAACGGCAGCGGGGGAGAAGCUUGCUUUUCCUGCCGGCGAGUGGCGAACGGGUGAGUAAUACAUCGGAACGUGCCCUGUAGUGGGGGAUAACUAGUCGAAAGAUUAGCUAAUACCGCAUACGACCUGAGGGUGAAAGUGGGGGACCGCAAGGCCUCAUGCUAUAGGAGCGGCCGAUGUCUGAUUAGCUAGUUGGUGGGGUAAAGGCCUACCAAGGCGACGAUCAGUAGCUGGUCUGAGAGGACGAUCAGCCACACUGGGACUGAGACACGGCCCAGACUCCUACGGGAGGCAGCAGUGGGGAAUUUUGGACAAUGGGCGAAAGCCUGAUCCAGCAAUGCCGCGUGUGUGAAGAAGGCCUUCGGGUUGUAAAGCACUUUUGUCCGGAAAGAAAUGGCUCCGGUUAAUACCUGGGGUCGAUGACGGUACCGGAAGAAUAAGGACCGGCUAACUACGUGCCAGCCGCCGCGGUAA
This 508-nucleotide ribosomal RNA is filed under the name uncultured bacterium. RNAcentral describes it as "partial 16S ribosomal RNA". It matches the Rfam family "Bacterial small subunit ribosomal RNA", at positions 30 to 523 of the family's 1533-position model. The record is from RNAcentral.